RNAcentral lists this ribosomal RNA (330 nucleotides) under uncultured bacterium. RNAcentral describes it as "bacterial SSU rRNA". It matches the Rfam family "Bacterial small subunit ribosomal RNA", at positions 568 to 898 of the family's 1533-position model. The record is from RNAcentral.
CGCGUAGGUGGUAGUGUAAGUCUGAGGUGGAAUCCCAGGGCUUAACCCUGGAACUGCCUUGGAAACUGCAUUACUUGAGUCAGUGAGGGGAGGGUAGAAUUCCUGGUGUAGCGGUGAAAUGCGUAGAUAUCAGGAGGAAGGCCUGUGGCGAAGGCGGCCCUCUGGUGCUGGACUGACACUGAGGCGCGAAAGCGUGGGGAGCAAACAGGAUUAGAUACCCUGGUAGUCCACGCCCUAAACGGUGGGCACUAGGUGUAGGGCUCGUAAGGGUUCUGUGCCGAAGGGAAACCAUUAAGUGCCCCGCCUGGGGGGUACGGCCGCAAGGUUGAA